RNAcentral lists this unclassified non-coding RNA (393 nucleotides) under soil metagenome. RNAcentral's name for it is "partial contains 5.8S ribosomal RNA, internal transcribed spacer 2, and large subunit ribosomal RNA". The stretch from base 1 to 122 matches the Rfam family "5.8S ribosomal RNA", at positions 35 to 154 of the family's 154-position model. The record is from RNAcentral.
GAUGAAGAACGCAGCGAAAUGCGAUACUUGGUGUGAAUUGCAGAAUCCCGUGAACCAUCGAGUCUUUGAACGCAAGUUACGCCCGAAGCCACUAGGCCGAGGGCACGCCUGCCUGGGCGUCACACGUCGUUGCCCCCCCCCCAUCUACUCCUUCGGGAUUGCGGGGGGCGGAUGAUGGCCUCCCGUGCGCCUAGCCGCGCGGUUGGCAUAAAUACCAAGUCCUCGGCGACGCACGCCACGACAAUCGGUGGUUGCGAAACCUCGGUUGCCCGUCGUGUGCGUUCGUCGCGCAUCGAGGGCUCGAAAAAAUGCUCGGCUCCGGCUCGGCUUUCAACGCGACCCCAGGUCAGGCGGGGUUACCCGCUGAAUUUAAGCAUAUCAAUAAGCGGAGGA